Molecule: long non-coding RNA, 603 nt
Organism: Alligator mississippiensis (American alligator)
Lineage: Eukaryota; Metazoa; Chordata; Crocodylia; Alligatoridae
Exons: 3
Source: RefSeq, a predicted model, not a curated record
CUCUGCUCUCUCUUUUCUGCUUUGAGAGCAAGAAACAGCCUAUCUAAAUCUAACAGAGGGGCAGGGAGGCUGAAGAAUUUCCCACAUCAGGCACUCCCUUCAAAACAGGUCUGAGCUAGCUGCAUGGGACAGUCGAGACAGCUUGUUCUUUCCUUGUUCAUGCUGCAUCGGUGGCUAACUCGGAUCAAGCCAGAAUCAAGACAUACAAAACACCAGCCACAGAAAUCAAAGCCAACCCCCUGGAAAACCGAACUUGAAGAGAGGAGAUGGCAUGUGCCGGGAGUAAUGAAUGCCUUGCUUCGACAGGGAAGGCACGUGGCUUUCCUUGCGGCACCGUGGGCAGCCCUGGCACCUGGAGUGAGAAUCACUGAGCUACUGAAAGCUUGAGGGUGUUUUAUGACCUCAUCAUCUGAAGCCUUCGCCACUACCUCACUGCAAUCAUAGGAACAUGGAAGGAACUGCCAUGUAGAUGAACCACUGGUCGCAUCCAAUGCAACAUUUUGGAUUGCCCUGAAUCAGGAACCUUUAAAUGCUGUCUGACAGUAUAAGUAUAUUGAGGUGAUACACAAAAAUGCCAUAAAUAAAUAAUGAACAACCAAACUA